Molecule: long non-coding RNA, 1033 nt
Organism: Notolabrus celidotus (New Zealand spotty)
Lineage: Eukaryota; Metazoa; Chordata; Actinopteri; Labriformes; Labridae
Exons: 2
Source: RefSeq, a predicted model, not a curated record
CGGACCGCAGCCUACCAGAGAUGGACCAGAAACAGAUCUGGUGGAAGUCCCGGCGUGUUUGCUCACUGCACGCCAACAGACUGCCAUCGCUCUCAUUCACUGUGUAUGCAAGGGGCUGAGUUGGAACACAAAGCAUGCUGGGAUAUCUGGAAAUGCAGCCAAAGCUGGCGGUGAGCCAAGAGGGCAGGAGGCAGGAACAACAGAAAACUCAGAGGCCAAUCACAUCAAGACAGCCAAUCAGGAUGCAGCAGAGCCCCCUCUCUCUCUCUCUGAGCAGCUGUGUGUGCAACCAGGAAGUACCAAAGCCUGACUAAUGACUUCAGUUUCAUCAGUUUAUAGUUUGACGAUAUGAAAAACAUCAGUGAGUGUUAUAGUUUGCUGAUCUUAUUUGAUGUUAGCAGCUUAGCUCAGUAAGUAUCCAGAACUCACAGCUUCAACAACAUUUACGUCAUUUUAAAGAACUUUUCCCCUCAGUAAUGUCUGUCCUCAUCACCCAGCAGACAGAAACAGAGCUUCUCUGGUUGAUGUUUAGUAUGUCUAACACCCCUGAGCACUGAGUGGGUCUGAGAGGACCGGAAAGACCCUCUCUUCAUAUCCAUCAGUGACCAGAGAUGCAGGGUGGACUCCACUUUACAAGAACUCAUCAAAUAAAGUCAGUAAGAAUCAUCAUUCCUCAACUGCUUCCAAUUUUUCCUCUCAGACUAACCCUGCUGCUCCAAUGAGGAGCGUGCUGUUUGUGUUGAAUUUGGCGCCCCCUCUGGACACUUCUAACAUCUUUGCUGAUUUUGUCCUGCACAUGUAGAAGUCGUGUUUUCUGUUGACAGUCAAACGCAUCACUUACUGAGGACAUCUGCUGUAUGGAGGUAAAAGAAGACUGUUUCUUUUCUGCUGCCUGUCCCCUCAUGACCGUUUCAGGCAUUCAAAAUCACAACAUAGAAAAUGUCCUGUCUGAUGGUCUAGUUUGCUGUUAUAGCUCAUAAAGAGGAAACACUGUUCAUCUCAGUCUGCUAAAUUUAAAUCCAAAUUCUCUUAA